Molecule: ribosomal RNA, 322 nt
Filed under: Bacteroides ovatus
Lineage: Bacteria; Pseudomonadati; Bacteroidota; Bacteroidia; Bacteroidales; Bacteroidaceae
Description: SSU rRNA
Rfam family: Bacterial small subunit ribosomal RNA
Source: RNAcentral
GAGGAAGGUGGGGAUGACGUCAAAUCAGCACGGCCCUUACGUCCGGGGCUACACACGUGUUACAAUGGGGGGUACAGAAGGCGGCUACCUGGUGACAGGAUGCUAAUCCCAAAAACCUCUCUCAGUUCGGAUCGAAGUCUGCAACCCGACUUCGUGAAGCUGGAUUCGCUAGUAAUCGCGCAUCAGCCAUGGCGCGGUGAAUACGUUCCCGGGCCUUGUACACACCGCCCGUCAAGCCAUGAAAGCCGGGGGUACCUGAAGUACGUAACCGCAAGGAGCGUCCUAGGGUAAAACUGGUAAUUGGGGCUAAGUCGUAACAAGG